Molecule: ribosomal RNA, 460 nt
Filed under: uncultured bacterium
Lineage: Bacteria
Description: partial 16S ribosomal RNA
Rfam family: Bacterial small subunit ribosomal RNA
Source: RNAcentral
CCUACGGGAGGCAGCAGUGAGGAAUAUUGGUCAAUGGACGCAAGUCUGAACCAGCCAUGCCGCGUGCAGGAAGACGGCUCUAUGAGUUGUAAACUGCUUUUGUACGAGGGUAAACGCAGAUACGCGUAUCUGACUGAAAGUAUCGUACGAAUAAGGAUCGGCUAACUCCGUGCCAGCAGCCGCGGUAAUACGGAGGAUUCAAGCGUUAUCCGGAUUUAUUGGGUUUAAAGGGUGCGUAGGCGGUCGGUUAAGUUCGAGGUGAAAUCCCGAGGCUCAACGUCGGAAUUGCCUUUGAUACUGCUCGGCUAGAGGGUAGUUGCGGUAGGCGGAAUGUGUGGUGUAGCGGUGAAAUGCUUAGAGAUCAUACAGAACACCGAUUGCGAAGGCAGCUUACCAAGCUGCUUCUGACGUUGAUGCACGAAAGCGUGGGGAGCAAACAGGAUUAGAUACCCCAGUAGUC